This 300-nucleotide ribosomal RNA is filed under the name uncultured bacterium. RNAcentral's name for it is "bacterial SSU rRNA". It matches the Rfam family "Bacterial small subunit ribosomal RNA", at positions 335 to 638 of the family's 1533-position model. The record is from RNAcentral.
UUGCCUACGGGGGGCAGCAGUGGGGAAUAUUGCACAAUGGGGGAAACCCUGAUGCAGCGACGCCGCGUGAGUGAAGAAGUAUCUCGGUACGUAAAGCUCUAUCAGCAGGGAAGAAAAAAAGUCUUUGGCUUUGGACGGUACCUGACUAAGAAGCCCCGGCUAACUACGUGCCAGCAGCCGCGGUAAUACGGAGGAUGCGAGCGUUAUCCGGAUUUAUUGGGUUUAAAGGGUGCGCAGGCGGUCUGUUAAGUCAGCGGUCAAAGCCCGGGGCUCAACCCCGGCCCGCCGUUGAAACUAGCG